GAUGAACGCUGGCGGCGUGCCUAAUACAUGCAAGUCGAGCGAACAGACGAGGAGCUUGCUCCUUUGACGUUAGCGGCGGACGGGUGAGUAACACGUGGGUAACCUACCUAUAAGACUGGGAUAACUUCGGGAAACCGGAGCUAAUACUGGAUAAUAUUUCGAACCGCAUGGUUCGAUAGUGAAAGAUGGCUCUGCUAUCACUUAUAGAUGGACCUGCGCCGUAUUAGCUAGUUGGUAAGGUAACGGCUUACCAAGGCAACGAUACGUAGCCGACCUGAGAGGGUGAUCGGCCACACUGGAACUGAGACACGGUCCAGACUCCUACGGGAGGCAGCAGUAGGGAAUCUUCCGCAAUGGGCGAAAGCCUGACGGAGCAACGCCGCGUGAGUGAUGAAGGUCUUCGGAUCGUAAA
RNAcentral lists this ribosomal RNA (412 nucleotides) under uncultured bacterium. RNAcentral describes it as "bacterial SSU rRNA". It matches the Rfam family "Bacterial small subunit ribosomal RNA", at positions 28 to 429 of the family's 1533-position model. The record is from RNAcentral.